Molecule: long non-coding RNA, 702 nt
Filed under: Brachypodium distachyon (stiff brome)
Lineage: Eukaryota; Viridiplantae; Streptophyta; Magnoliopsida; Poales; Poaceae
Description: long non-coding RNA (BDIS_LNC000085)
Source: RNAcentral
GUCGUGUCGCACACAGUCGGUACGUAGCCGAGCUUGCCAAUCCAAGAACUCUCACGUCCUCUCGUGAAUAUCUUCUUCUUUUUUUCCAGAAAAUGAUCAGACUUUAUUCAUCGAGGGAGUGGUACGUUACAUCGGAUCGGAGAGGAGACUAAAACACACCCAAACAACAGAGAUCUACAACCAGAAGUUUUAUCGAUCGAAGUCCCUCAAGUCAGUGCCUCUGGCUUCGUCAUCUUUUCUCCAGGCAUCCGACGACGAAGAAACAACGGAAUACCAAAUAGUCACAUAACUUUCAUAAGUACGUUUUGAAGUACGUGCCCAAAAACUAACGCUGUCCUGGUAACGUCGAUUAUGUAGAUAAUUUUUCCUAAAACGCCGACUAAACAGCUUAAUUAAGAUAUCACAUACAAUAUCCAUCUAACAAUCUAACAAGUUUUUUUUUUGUUUUGAGAAUGACAAUCUUUUUCUUUUUUUGAGGGGAUUGAGAAUGACAAUCUAACCAGUACUGUGAGCAUGGUGACUGUGGGUCUCCUAUGACUAAUGGCGGGGCCGGGUUGAGCCAGCGCGUCCAAAUUCAUGCCUGAGGCUGAACCAGUUCUUAUUGGGCCGAAUACUUUUACCUUAUACCUCUUGUUUUCGUGAGAUUAAAGAGAAUACAUGAGCUUCUAGUCUCAGACCCAGGCCUGAAACCUGGGUAGCCUU